RNAcentral lists this ribosomal RNA (1974 nucleotides) under human gut metagenome. RNAcentral's name for it is "bacterial LSU rRNA". It matches the Rfam family "Bacterial large subunit ribosomal RNA", at positions 502 to 2495 of the family's 2925-position model. The record is from RNAcentral.
CGUGAGGGAAAGGUGAAAAGAACCCCGGGAGGGGAGUGAAAGAGAACCUGAAACCCUGCACUUACAAGCUGUAGGAGCACAUUAUUUGUGUGACUGCGUACUUUUUGUAGAACGGGCCAACGAGUUACGUUGUGUAGCAAGGUUAAGCACUUAAGGUGUGGAGCCGUAGCGAAAGCGAGUCUUAAAUGGGCGUCCAGUUACCCGACGUAGACCCGAAACCAGGCGACCUAUCCAUGAGCAGGUUGAAGCGAAAGUAAAAUUUCGUGGAGGACCGAACCCACGUACGUUGAAAAGUGCGGGGAUGACUUGUGGAUAGCGGUGAAAUUCCAAUCGAGCCUGGAGAUAGCUGGUUCUCCCCGAAAUAGCUUUAGGGCUAGCCUCAAGCUUAGAGAAACGGAGGUAGAGCACUGAAUGUCCUAGGGGGUAUUGCACUUACCGAAGACUAUCAAACUCCGAAUGCCGUAUUCUUUUGCUUGGGAGUCAGACUAUGGGUGAUAAGAUUCAUAGUCAAGAGGGCAACAGCCCAGAUCGUCAGCUAAGGUCCCUAAAUGUAAGUUAAGUGGUAAAGGAUGUGGAAUUGCACAGACAACCAGGAUGUUGGCUUAGAAGCAGCCACUCAUUUAAAGAGUGCGUAAUAGCUCACUGGUCGAGUGAUUCUGCGCCGAAAAUUUCCGGGGCUAAAACUUACUACCGAAGCUACGGCAUCAUUAUGAUGGGUAGGGGAGCUUUCUAUGCGGCUUGAAGCAUGACCGUAAGGACAUGUGGACUGCAUAGAAGUGAGAAUGUUGGCAUGAGUAGCGAGAUGUGGGUGAGAAUCCCACAGGCCGUAAACCCAAGGUUUCCAGGGGAAGGUUCGUCCGCCCUGGGUUAGUCAGGACCUAAGCCGAGGCCGAAAGGCGUAGGUGAUGGACAACAGGUUGAUAUUCCUGUACCACCAAUAACCGUUUGAGAAAUGGGAUGACACAGUAGGAUAAGCUAACCGCACUGUUGGUUAUGUGCGGGCAAGUAUUGAGGCAGUUCCGAUAGGCAAAUCCGUCGGAAUAAUGCUGGGGUACGAUGCGGAGCGAAAUUUAGUAGCGAAGUAGCUGAUUUCACACUGUCGAGAAAAGUCUCUAUCGAGGUUAAAGGUGCCUGUACCGCAAACCGACACAGGUGGGUGAGGAGAGUAUCCUAAGGCCAGCGAGAGAACUGUUGUUAAGGAACUCGGCAAAAUGACCCCGUAACUUAGGGAGAAGGGGUGCCUUCGAAAGAAGGCCGCAGAGAAUAGGCCCAAGCGACUGUUUACCAAAAACAUAGGUUUCUGCUAAGUCGCAAGACGAUGUAUAGGAGCUGACGCCUGCCCGGUGCUGGAAGGUUAAGGGGAUCUGUUAGAGCAAUCGAAGCAGUGAACUUAAGCCCCAGUAAACGGCGGCCGUAACUAUAACGGUCCUAAGGUAGCGAAAUUCCUUGUCGGGUAAGUUCCGACCCGCACGAAAGGCGUAACGAUUUGGGCACUGUCUCAACAACAGACUCGGUGAAAUUGUAAUACCGGUGAAGAUGCCGGUUACCUGCGACAGGACGGAAAGACCCCAUGGAGCUUUACUGUAGCUUGACAUUGAGUCUCGGUGCUACAUGUACAGGAUAGGUGGGAGACUAUGAAGCAUGGACGUCAGUCUGUGUGGAGUCAUCCUUGGGAUACCACCCUUGUAGUACUGGGAUUCUAACCAGAGGCCAUGAAUCUGGUCUUGGGACACUGUCAGGUGGACAGUUUGACUGGGGCGGUCGCCUCCCAAAAAGUAACGGAGGCGCUCAAAGGUUCUCUCAGUACGGUCGGAAAUCGUACGAAGAGUGUAAAGGCAAAAGAGAGCUUGAUUGCAAGACAUACAGGUCGAGCAAGGACGAAAGUCGGACUUAGUGAUCCGGUGGUUCCGCAUGGAAGGGCCAUCGCUCAACGGAUAAAAGCUACCCUGGGGAUAACAGGCUGAUCUCCCCCAA